ACGCACGCUGGCGGCGUGCCUCAUCCCUGCCAGUAGAACGCUGAAGGAGGAGCUUGCUUCUCUGGAUGAGUUGCGAACGGGUGAGUAACGCGUAGGUAACCUGCCUGGUAGCGGGGGAUAACUAUUGGAAACGAUAGCUAAUACCGCAUAAGAGUAGAUGUUGCAUGACAUUUGCUUAAAAGGUGCAAUUGCAUCACUACCAGAUGGACCUGCGUUGUAUUAGCUAGUUGGUGGGGUAACGGCUCACCAAGGCGACGAUACAUAGCCGACCUGAGAGGGUGAUCGGCCACACUGGGACUGAGACACGGCCCAGACUCCUACGGGAGGCAGCAGUAGGGAAUCUUCGGCAAUGGACGGAAGUCUGACCGAGCAACGCCGCGUGAGUGAAGAAGGUUUUCGGAUCGUAAAGCUCUGUUGUAAGAGAAGAACGAGUGUGAGAGUGGAAAGUUCACACUGUGACGGUAUCUUACCAGAAAGGGACGGCUAACUACGUG
This 494-nucleotide ribosomal RNA is filed under the name uncultured bacterium. RNAcentral describes it as "partial 16S ribosomal RNA". It matches the Rfam family "Bacterial small subunit ribosomal RNA", at positions 29 to 507 of the family's 1533-position model. The record is from RNAcentral.